RNAcentral lists this unclassified non-coding RNA (563 nucleotides) under Hevea brasiliensis (rubber tree). The record is from RNAcentral. Lineage: Eukaryota; Viridiplantae; Streptophyta; Magnoliopsida; Malpighiales; Euphorbiaceae.
GGGAAGAUGGGUGUGUUAAGGAAUGCAGUUGUUGAGAAAAAUGCUGAGGAAAAAAUCUGUAAUGCAGCUGAGUUUGUGAUAGUUGGUUUGGAUAUAUGUCAAAUGGUGAGUGAUUUGCAUUUAAGAGGAUUGGUUCUGGGUUUUUUGGGGCUUUCUUGUUUUGGUUUUGACAAGUUUGGCCGUGUUUAUGUUGAUAUUAGUGAAGUUUUGGCAACUGGAAGGAGAGUUUGCAAGCUACUCACAGAGGUUGUUGUUGGCAAGAGUGGAACUGCUAGUGAAGGUUUGGUGGUGAGAUUAAAAAAUAGCAUGGUGGAAGAUUGUAUUUUUGUUAGUCCAGAGGUAUUCUUUGAGUUGUCGAAACUGGGUGGCAUUGUGAUAGAUUUAGGCAGCUCAAGGUAUCAUGUUGGAUAUGGUUCUGAUAUUUGGUCAUUAGCUUGUGCAAUUAUUUCACUUCUAGUUGGGAAAUCUUUCGCUGAAGAGAUGCAGAAAUAUUUGAGUUAUCUGGUUAGUGCAGUAAGAGAUGAAAAAUGUCUUGAAUUUGUUAGAUGGUACAUGGAGUGGAG